RNAcentral lists this ribosomal RNA (397 nucleotides) under uncultured bacterium. RNAcentral describes it as "partial 16S ribosomal RNA". It matches the Rfam family "Bacterial small subunit ribosomal RNA", at positions 523 to 918 of the family's 1533-position model. The record is from RNAcentral.
AUAGGUAGGGGGCGAGCGUUGUCCGGAAUGAUUGGGCGUAAAGGGAGCGUAGGCGGCCCGGCAAGUCUGCAGCGGAAGUCCUGUUUUUAAGAUGGGAAUUGCUUUGGAUACGGUCGGGCUUAAGUGCAGGAGAGGACAGUGGAAUUCCCAGUGUCUCGGUGACAUGCGUAGAGCUUGGGAGGAACACCAGUGGCGAAGGCGACUUACUUGACUGUAACUCACGCUGAAGCGUGAAAGUGUGGGGAGCAAACAGGAUGAGAGACCUAAGUAGUCCACACUGUAACCGAUGUAUGCGAUGCGUAGGUGGUAUCGGCCCCUUCUGUGCCGCAGUCAUCAAAAUAAGCAUUCCUCCCGGGGAGUACUGCCGCAAGGUUGAAACACAAAUGAAUUGACGGGG